RNA transcript from Strigops habroptila (Kakapo), 5715 nucleotides. It is a transcript of the gene named STARD3 N-terminal like, with no coding region annotated. Lineage: Eukaryota; Metazoa; Chordata; Aves; Psittaciformes; Psittacidae. The transcript has 7 exons. The record is from RefSeq and is a predicted model, not a curated record.
UAAGGGUUCAUUUAUACUCAUUAGUAUAAAACCAGUUGUGUGUUAUAGAUAUAAGAGUAAUUUGUAUGCUGUAUAAGAUGUACUCAAGUCCAUUCUGUGUAUUCAUCUUUCGUGUUGGAUGAGAAAUGUUCCUUUGGCCUGAGGGAUGGAGAAGAGCUGUUAUUUCAUGGACAAGCAGAGCUACUCUAGUUCUAAGUACUCCAGAUAAAGCCACUCUGUUGGCAUACUUUAAUUUUGCCUUGUCUCACUUCUUUUUCCACUUUGCUCUUUAUUGCUGUUUUUCUCCCCCUGUCACCUACAAGGAACAUGAACCUUGCAGAUUUCUGAAUGGGUUUUCCAGUCUAGGACAGUUUCCCAGCAGUCCUGAAACCGGGAAAAGUGUCAUGAGUUUGAGUAAGGUUUGCUCCAUGCUAAGGGACACUGCUGGUUGCUCCCAGCCCGCUCUGUGCUCAGCCCUGUAGCAGUCAGGCGGUUGGACUAGAUGAUUGUUGUGGGUCCCUUCCAACUGAACUAUUCUGUACUAUUCUACUCUGUAGAAUUGUGAGUCUACUGGUACUAAUGAAAUUACUGGUAAUUAGUACUAUUUCUGUUUGGGGAGAAGAGAACAGAGUAAAUGGCAGUUCUUUGUAACUUACUUUUCAAAGCGUUCUUCUGCUCAAACAAGUAACAGAAUCCUUGGGUAUGGACCAGUCUUUACUAGAGGAUGUUAUAACCAUGUUUCUAUUCAACUUUACUGUGUACUGUACUGAAAGGUGUCUUUGCAUAGUGGAUAGUUAAAUGGUACAUUUUGUUUUAAGUAGACAGGCAUUUUAGAUAACACAGAUACUAUCAAACUAACAGAUAAAUGUGACUCUAGAAAAAGGUUUGGUGGUUGGGACUUGAAAUAGAGAUAGAGAAGAAAUUGCAAAACAGUUUCCAACUGAAAAUGUGUAUCAACAUGGGAUAGUUGGAAAGAAGCAGAUUCACUGGAAUUCUUAAUGUGGAAAAUUCUUCCUUUAUGGAUCAGCCUUCUAGUGAUGGUGAAACUGGAAGAAGACCACUCUAAGCAAACCCAGGAUGAAUCGGGUGCCAGGUGAUACAGACAAUGCUCACAGUAGCAGCGUGGAAUCCUGUCCUUCCUUGCGGGAUGUCCACUCCAUCAACCCAGCGCAGCUGAUGGCAAGGAUUGAGUCAUAUGAAGGCAGAGAGAAGAAAGGCAUAUCAGAUGUCAGAAGGACUUUCUGUUUGUUUGUUACAUUUGAUCUCUUAUUCAUAACCUUGCUGUGGAUAAUAGAAUUAAAUGUAAAAGGAGGCAUUGAGACUACCUUAGAGAAAGAAGUCCUACAAUAUGACUACUCUUCUUCAUAUUUUGAUAUAUUUGUAAGUGUUCUUCAAAAAAAAAGAGGGGAAAAAAGCAGCAAAAGUGUAGUUCUCCCAUGUUCCUCCUUCCACACAUGUUCCCUAGUUUGGGUCCUGUGAAAGGGAUGAUCUUUCCUUGAUGCUUUAAACUGGAAGGACUUGUGCCAAAUUUCACCUGGCUAGAGAUAAUUUAUUAAGAAGACCAGUAGCCUCCAGCUGUAAAAUCAUGUUGUUUAAACCAGUGUUUUUGUCCUUCCACAGAAAUAAGUGAGUUGCAGUGAGGAGACACUUGUUCCCAGGUUGGCCUGGUCAGAUGGGUUUUCAGAUGUCUGUGUUUUAACUCAACAGGGUUUUUUUUAACAUUGUACUAAAAAGAGAUGACACAAAGCUUGAUUCUCCUUGUAAGCACCCAAGGCACGUGAGAGGAACACUGCUCCAUCAGGAAGUUCCUCUGUCUUCCAGCCACGCUGUAGCUCUGUAGUUGCGAUGCAUUUUGCACUGCAUGGACCAAGUUACUGAUCUCAAAGUAAAAGCUGUUUCUUUAUGGUCCUUUUAAAGGGCCCCAUGUUCUUCCAAGAUCAUUAACUCUACCAGAUCUUGUUUGCCUGGCAGAGAUGAGUUGGUUUGGUAUCUACUAUACUAUAUCCAGAAUCUCUCUUUGAAAUGGAGGUACCAUGGAAUGGUGUGGAAUGAGGUACCAGAUACAAAAAUGUCAUAAGCUAGCAAGCUAUGCUACUUCUCCCUUUCUUGGUAUUUUGCUGGCAGGUUCUUUAUGAUACACUUUACUGCAGAAAGCAAAAUGUUGAUGCUCUGGAAAUGAUUUUGCCCUCGAGUUCAACCAAGGGUUAAAAACAUGUAAUGCAAAAUAAUAGACUUUUAUUCCCUGGGAAAGGAUGAGGUCAUGGAAUUCUGCAGAAUGACUUAUGAGCUUAUGCAGGAUUUCUUCUGUUUCUACCACACAACACUGAAACAUACGUAUUUGCAUAGGACUAAAUGGGUUCAUCAUGCCUCUGGCCACGCCUGUCCUUGGUGUCCCUGAAUUUUUAAGCAUUUGGUUUAUGUUUUUUUAGAUUCUAAAUGCAUCUUUUAAAGCAAGUUGGAAGCAAUCCAAUAUCGAAGAAUAAACAGGGAAAUUGAGGGUUAGUGCCCCUGAUUCAGAAAUCUUGUCUGCUAUCGAUUGAAUUUUCUGGCCCAGAAAUACCAUAACUUACCUUUAUUUCCUGCAAAACGUUUGGAACAGCUUGCAGCUGCAGGCACCUCCACAAAGAAGAACUGAUCGUUGCAAUGCUAAUAUUUCAAUAAAUCCUAAACAUCUAGUAAGUAGAAGAUGGUUUAAAAAAAUUCUUCCCAUUUUCUGAUUGCAUUUGUGAAGUACUUGCAGUUUUUAAUGCUACUCUUGACCAGUACCACACCACUCAGAUCAGAGAGAGGCACAGUGAUGCUCAAAGUAUUUGCUGGAUUAACUGCAUCUAGAUUUAACUGCUUAGAUUGCAGCCAGGUAAAAUGAUCGUGAACAUACUUUGUGUAGCUUUCUCGUGUUUGUAACUUACGUUAUGUGGAAUUGCACAUGCUUGCAUAUUAGAGCCUACAUAGGCAUGUGAGUGGUGCCAUUUGCUUUACAAAUGGGAAAUAAUGUUCUAUUACUGUUUUAUAAGCACACGUUCCAAUUUGUUUCUCAGUAACAGAGCUUGGAUUGUCCUGUUUUAAGUUUUGUAAGAAACGAGUGUUUUCGGUGAGCUGAGAAUCUUGUGGUUCUUCUGUGUUCUGCAUUAACCAACAAAUAUUUUUUUCCUUUCUCUAUAGCUACUGGCAGUCUUUCGGUUUAAGGUGUUAAUACUUGCAUAUGCAAUGUGCAGACUGCGCCAUUGGUGGGCAAUAGCUGUGAGUAGUAGCCAAGCAUAAUGGAGUUUUAACUAGAAUGGAUCAAACAGACAGAAUUUUCGAUGCCUCUUAACACUCGUAUGUUAAGAAUCAUCUUGAUAUAUAAGAUCAUCUUGGUAUGUUAAAGUUUGCUGUACAGUAACAGAUUAAAAACUUCUGUUCUGGAAGAUUUUCAGCUUAAAGGCAAGAAUUUAACAGCACAAUGAGUGUGGUUCUGACUAGGUAUCUUGUUAAUGCAAAUUGAAGACUUUGAAUCCAGUACGGAUGGCUGGUUGGAACUGCUUGUUAUCUCUGACAUAUUCAAUAGCUAAUGUGUGGAAUGUAUUUGCAUUCGAAAUAGUGAACUGUAUUAAAAGAGUUGGCAUUAUUGUAGCAGAGAUCCAGCUGUCCAUUCUCCCACAUUCUUAGCUUUUUAGAGUUUUAGGUGCCACCCACUGAGCACCUGCAUUGCUUCAUGCUCCAAGACAAAAUGCCAAAUAUGCAAUCCCUUCUUAGAAUGAAGGUUCUUGAGAACUUCAGGCAAUCACAGUGGAUGGGAGCAAAUAUCUUUAAUGCAGCUCUCCUGAGAAUGCAAUGAGAGAGGAUGCAGAACUUGCUGAUAAUCCAUACUUCCACCAGUCAGUGCUAUAGGUUAUAACAGGCAUGUUGCUGGCUUGGUGCACUGUAAAUCUUAUUUUCCCUUACCCUGUGGUAGGUGCAUGUAGAACGUGUUUAUGUGUAACUUCAAGUGGCUAACAUGCAGUUUGUUCAGUGGUCUGAGGUGACAUGCCAUGGUUUUUUAAGAGUAUUAGCAUGGCACAAACACAUAAUAGCAGCUGCAGGUCUGUGUUUAUUUUUCAGUGCAUGCCUCAAAAUCUCUUACUCUUGGUUGUGUAGCUUAAACAGUACUUCCAGUGACAUCCUUCGACUUGCUGCAGUUGUUGGUGAGGCGGUGGGAGUGAACCCAUCAUGGUAGUAAGCAAUCAGAUGUAUAAAGCUUCACUGAAGGUUUUGCAGAAGCUGUUAAUCCUAAAAUCCUACCUGUGCUUUACCAAAAGGUAGCUGGGGUCUGCUCUUAUUUAAAGAAUUGCUGGACCCCAAUGCACUAACAGAGUUAUAAGCCUUGCCUAAGCGAGCAGUACUUGUCCACUGCUGCUUUGUUGUUUUAUGCAGGCUCCAUUUUUUAUGGCAGGGACUCCCAAGUCUUCAAAGGCAUUAAUUUUUUACAAUAUCAGUACAUGGAUUAAAAUAUGAAUUCAAAUUUACUCCUGUAAAGAUCUUUUACCUGAAACAGAUAGUUUGAUUUGGAUGGUAGCCUAAGAAGCAUUUGGAGCAAUUACUGUUUGCUUUUUCCCAAAUACAUAGAUAGUUUCUAAAGGGACUUUGUGAAUAAAAUACUGCAUCUUCAUUAUACAGUUAAGAUCACAAUUUAUAGAGCUCAGCAUCUGUGUAGCAUCUAAACUGCCUAAUUGCUGUGUGGAAAUGUCAGUAUUAAAAGUUAUCUUUAGUAAGGAGGUUAUUUUAAUAACACUUUAGUUGUAUCAUACUUGUUAUGUUUUAUUAGUCUAUGAUCUUGCUGUUGUUGGUAAAUAUUUAAAGUUGCAACUGAUAGAUAAUGGCAGAAAUGAGAAAGUAAAUCCAUUUCUUAGUCUUAACUGUUCUUACCCUGUCUCUUUCAGUUUACAACAGCAGUGACCAGUGCCUUUUUAUUAGCAAAAGUAAUUAUUUCACAGCUGUUCUCACAGGGUGCUUUUGGCUACGUGCUGCCCAUCAUAUCCUUCAUACUUGCCUGGAUUGAAACUUGGUUCUUGGACUUCAAAGUGUUACCGCAAGAAGCUGAAGAAGAAAACAGGUUUUUGAUAGCACAGGAUGCGUCUGAACGAGCGGCUCUUCUUCACCCCGGAGUCCUCUCUGACGGGCAGUUCUAUUCUCCUCCUGAAUCUGUAGCAGGAUCUGAUGAAGAUUCUGAAGAGAAACAAGACAGUGAAAAGCCAGUUGUAUAGCAGAUAUGCAAAAGCAGAAAGAAAAUCCCUGAGGGAAGUUGCUGGGGUUUGGAAACUGGCACCGGAGCCUGUGACUGACUUGCUGAUGGAGCUGCUGACAGAAUUUAUUCCUUAGAAAGCAAAGGGAAUGGUUUCCAUGUACUGUAAUACCUCACAAAGCGUGCCCUGGUGACAUAUGUAUAUUAGGUUGCCUCCCAGGUGGUAUGAAAAUAUUCGUCCAUGAUGUAUUUUAUUAUUCAGUGAUUCCUGAAGUUGAUCUUCUACUGACUAUAGGUAAUUACUGGACCGUGUUGUUUUGUGUACCUAAUCAAGAGACAGCUAAUAUAAUGAAGUAAAACUUCUCUAUGCUCGAAGUCUAUUUAAUGAUCGUUGAGCCUCACUAGGUAAAAUUAUUUUAUGUUAUUGCUAAUUUGUCAUUAGUUUUAUGUUUGGUUAUUUUUUUUUUAACUCCACACGUUUUCUUUUUUAACAGACAUGUUCACUUUCUAAAAUAAACCCGUUAAAACAAGGGCAA